CUACGGGUUGCAGCAGGCGAGAAAACUUUGCAAUGUGCGAAAGCACGACAAGGUUAAUCCGAGUGGUUUGUGCUAAACGAACCUUUUGACAGUCCUAGAAACACUGUUGAAUAAGGGGUGGGCAAGUUCUGGUGUCAGCCGCCGCGGUAAAACCAGCACCUCAAGUGGUCAGGAUGAUUAUUGGGCCUAAAGCAUCCGUAGCCGGCUCUGUAAGUUUUCGGUUAAAUCUGUACGCUCAACGUACAGGCUGCCGGGAAUACUGCAGAGCUAGGGAGUGGGAGAGGUAGACGGUACUCGGUAGGAAGGGGUAAAAUCCUUUGAUCUAUUGAUGACCACCUGUGGCGAAGGCGGUCUACCAGAACACGUCCGACGGUGAGGGAUGAAAGCUGGGGGAGCAAACCGGAUUAGAUACCCUCGAGUC
RNAcentral lists this ribosomal RNA (421 nucleotides) under uncultured archaeon. Its description in RNAcentral is "partial 16S ribosomal RNA". It matches the Rfam family "Archaeal small subunit ribosomal RNA", at positions 323 to 746 of the family's 1478-position model. The record is from RNAcentral.